CGAUCGGAGGGAUUCCUAAUCCCACAGCCCCCCGACACUAUAACACCCUCGCCCCGAAAGAAACGCCAUCUUUCAAUGGGCAGCAGAGCUGGGCGGGGGGACUGGGAUUUCCUGGAGCUUUUUGCACACGCUUGGAAAACUUCCCCCUGACAAGGGAAGAGGAAACCAUUGUAGCCUCCAGUCGCUUCACGGCCUUUGCCUCAAAGUGCCACAUUCCUCAAAAGUGAUUAUCAGGGACUAACCAGGGGUGAGGGCGGAGAAGAAAAAACAAAUGUGGGCAAGGAGCCUCCUGACUGUGACCCUUCCGAAAGGGAUGAAGUUUGACGCCAGUUUGAUGGUGAUUCUAAAAGGAAUAAGCAGGCCCGAUUCCACUUGGAUUUGGAGCAAAACUACCAUUUCGAUUUCAUCCUUUUGAUUUUUGCCAAACGGAAGAAGCUGGAACAAUUAACAUCUACAUUUUAAAAGCCCCCCAAAUGACAACAUGAUACCAACAAAACAGAUGAAAUGCAGUUGUGCUGAAACAUCAGAAAAAGCCAAUAAAAAACAUUCAGCUGCACCCCAAGAGUCACCUUCCACUAGUACCAAUAAAAAGUUAAGUGUGCCAGAACAAACUGAACCAAUGAUCAUCGUUUCACCACCUUCAGGAGAAUGUCUAAUAAGGUACGCCAUACCCAUUCCAUCUGAUAACUCACAGACGACGCAUGAUCUGCAGAUGCUUAGGCAAACCAUCGACCACCUCAGUCAGACUGUUUCUGUAAUGCAAGAUGUCUAUGCUAUAACUGGAGAAGGUGAAGUAAUUGAAGAAGUUCAAGAUACAGAAGAGGAGGAAAGGGCAUGCCCUGGAGAUGAUAUGACCUCAUUCUUUUUUAAUUGUUCAUCAAUUGCAACUCAGCUACAGAAAGCAGUUCAGGAAGAAGAAAUUAUAUUGGAGUCCCUGAAUCAGUGGUUUCAGCAGGAGGUAACUCUUGUGGAAAAGUUAGGUCAAGAGCAGAAUGUUCCUGAUUGGGAGCUUCCUUUGCCUGAUAAAACAAUAACUAAAAAUAUUACUAAAAUAGCAAAGCAAGUGAAGAAACUUGAAGAACUGAAGGAUCGCCUUCAAAAGAUACCCAAACCUACUCGGGCUUUAGUCUCUAAAGUCAAACCAGAGAAGAAAAAACCUCUAGACCUGGGUCAAGUGUUAAAAGAUUCCAAUUUCAAUAUGGAAGAAUUUAUUAAAACCUGUGGAGUAGAUAUUGUGAAUAUCCUUCAGGAGGCACAAGAUGAUGACUAUUCCUCCUCAACUGAUUUUCUGACUCAUCGUUUGCAUGACAUACUGAAAAUAUUUGAAAGGCAGUCAACUAAGCUGCAAAGAGUUUUAAAUGAACAAGAUAUUCUAGAGGACAAAUACAGGCAGAUGCAAAAUGAGUAUCAGUUGCUAGCCGAGGAAAAAAUGAUGAUGGACAAUGCACUAAAAAAAUUAAAGGGGUCAGAACAAGGAGAGGUAACUGCUGCUAAAUGUGAGAAAGCGAAACGUAUUGAGAAGGAAGUUCUUCGACCUUCUGGAAGUAAAGCGUUGGAUGGACAACAGGCUACCCUUGACUCAACAUUCAAAGAAUCUGAAAAUAUUAAAAUGAAACGUGACUUACUUCAAGCCCAGAAAACAGUAAAAAUUCUGGAAGCUGAGAAUAAAGCCCUUCAAGAAAAAUUGCAACAAGCUUUACAGGGAGCUGAAAAAGCUAAGGAGGAACAUGUAAAAUCAGCAUCAUUUUCGGAAGUCUCACAGAAGUAUAAGAAAUAUGAAAGUGAAGACACUAACAAAGCAAGUUUAAAGAAAGCCAGGGAAAGCAUAACCAAAAGCAAACGGGAAUAUUCAAGGAGGAAAUCUGGAGAUAAAGAAGUCACAAAAUUUGCAACAGAGUCAGCACAAAAGGACAUUAGAACCGAAAGAAGAAGCGUAACUGGCAAAGAACAAUCACCUCAGGCUUUAUCCCAUGGUACACGGGGUUCUCUGAAAUCUGCUGUUGAAACCAAAGAAAAAUCAAAGAUUUCCCAAGGGAAAAAAACAAAUUUAGAAGGAGAAAGCUCAAGGAAGGAAACCCACAGUCCUGCUAUUUCAGAUCUUUCACAAUUACCCAAGAUGGAAGAAGAAUCACCCUCCUUAAAGAAUAAAAAUAAGCUAUUCUUACUAAGAUUAAGAUCUUCAGAUAAUCAAGAAUCAUCCAAGAGUAUCUCUUCUGAGACACAAGAAAAAUCAUUUCUACCUAUUUUAUCCACAAAGGAAAAACAAGUAUCAUCAUCAAGUAGAUCAAGUGUUGAAAGAGACAAUGUUUUGACCAAGUUGCCAGAACUCUUAGGGCCUGAAUUUCAAGACACCCAGUUACUCACUACUUCUCAUGAAAAAGAAACUGAUAGUAAAUUACCUAAGGGUGCUGUUUCAGAAAUACUAUUACCAAGUGACAAUUUACAACAAAUAUGUCGUGAAGCAGAGUUUCAAGCUGCAGAGGGGAGAGUCAAAGAAUUAGAGAGGAAAGUACACGGGGAUUUAAUCCAGUUGACUGAUUUAGAAUAUAAGAAACCUGGUCAGAAUCUUGCAGAAACAGAUGGAGUCACUGGUAUUUCAGAAGAACUUGAAACAACAAACCAGUUAACAGACCCGCAAGCAGUCACAGGAGAAAUAUUCAGAGCAUCACCUAGAAGUCAUUGUAUUUCAGAAGAACUUGAAACAACAAACCAGUUGACAGACCUGCAAGCAGUCACAACAGGAACAGUCAGAGCAUCAGCUAGAAGUCAUUGUAUUUCAGAAGAACUUGAAACAACAAAUCAGUUGACAGACCUGCAAGCAAUCACGGCAGGAAUAGUCAGAGCAUCAGCCGGAAGUCAUUCUCCACAGCUCUCCGGUGUCACUCUUGUAACACCUGGGAAGGAAACAACUGAUUUAGAGGCAAAUUUGGAAGGCAAACAACAAAUUCAGAUAGCUGACAUUGACCAAUCUGAAGAAAUCAGUAGUCCACAGCACCCUGUCUCAGCUCUGACGAUACCUCAAGAAGCCUCAGAAUACUGUGUAGAAGCCACUGGUCCAGACUCAUCCUUGAAAGCCCUUCAUCAAAUUCAGACUCUUAUAAUUGACCAACCAGAGAAAAUCAGUGAGAAUAAUGUAGAAGAUUUAUCAAAGUGUAUCAUGUGGCAUUAUCCAAAGGAAAAAAGUGUUCAGCCUGUGGGUCGGCCAGCUUCCUCAAACAGUAGUCCACGUGUGGAGAUGCUUUCCACACUACGAGUUCCACAGAAGGAGGGCCUUGAGGAUAACGUGGAAGAUUUAUCAAAGACUAAAACGCAGGACUUCCCAAAGAAAAAAGGUGUUCAGCUUGUGGAUCAACCAUCCUCUCCACCCACAAGGUCAAAAGUAGUUAUUUUUUCCAAACCACAAGGGCCACAAACGGCGUUCGUUGCUCCAGGUAUGCAGAGAUCUGUAGAUGGAAAGAACAUUUGGCUUCAGACCCAGGAACUUCACAAGAGGAGCUUUCUACCAGUUAGGUCACCAAAGACUGUGGAUUUAUUGCUUUCCCAAGGCCAAGUACGUGGCCAGAAACCCUUCGUGGACACAGUCACACCAGUUUGGAACAAAAACUUCCCAUUAUCGACCAGAAUGAUCACCCAGGUUGCAAGGGUGGAUAUGAGCAAAAUUAAUGCAUCCAAAUACCGAUCUUUCCCUGUGAUUUCUAGACUACUGUCAGUAAAGGACACUCAGCUUCUGCCAUUUCAACUGGCCACUAAGCAGACUAACUAUUUGGCGAAGAAUUCGCUUUCUCCUGCUAAAAGGACCUUCAGUGCAGGUACCAAGAAUGCUUCUCACCUUUUUGGUGUAUGCACUCGGUUCCAGCCCGCUGCACAGAUUACAGAGAUGCCCUUGUUUCUUUCUGGAAAGAGUUUCUGCCAAUCAAGACCAGAAAUGAUCACUACAGUUAAAAACAGGUCAUUCCUGAAACACUAAGUUACUCAGAGGAGCUGUAAAGGAAAUCCACUCCAGACCUGAAUACAGAGGGCAGCAUCCAGGAAUGGUAAGCAGUAACUACAACUCAAAUGGAUAGCAUCUAUCUGUCUAUUAGUUUGCCCAGCUGUUCCGAGCUGAUCUUAAUGCUGAGAAAAAAUAAUUUUAGGGGAGAGCCAGUUUCCCUAUGUUUGGUCUUUUAAGCUAUCAGAUGCUUUUUCUCCUUACCUCAACUUGUCAGGGUCCAUUUCUCUUU
RNA transcript from Tachyglossus aculeatus (Australian echidna), 4220 nucleotides. It is a transcript of the gene named coiled-coil domain containing 7, with no coding region annotated. The transcript has 34 exons. The record is from RefSeq and is a predicted model, not a curated record. Lineage: Eukaryota; Metazoa; Chordata; Mammalia; Monotremata; Tachyglossidae.